UUUAUGGAGAGUUUGAUCCUGGCUCAGGAUGAACGCUGGCGGCGUGCCUAAUACAUGCAAGUCGAGCGAACAGAUAAGGAGCUUGCUCCUUUGACGUUAGCGGCGGACGGGUGAGUAACACGUGGGUAACCUACCUAUAAGACUGGGAUAACUUCGGGAAACCGGAGCUAAUACCGGAUAAUAUUUCGAACCGCAUGGU
RNAcentral lists this ribosomal RNA (199 nucleotides) under Staphylococcus haemolyticus. RNAcentral describes it as "partial 16S ribosomal RNA". It matches the Rfam family "Bacterial small subunit ribosomal RNA", at positions 1 to 194 of the family's 1533-position model. Lineage: Bacteria; Bacillati; Bacillota; Bacilli; Caryophanales; Staphylococcaceae. The record is from RNAcentral.